RNAcentral lists this ribosomal RNA (406 nucleotides) under uncultured bacterium. Its description in RNAcentral is "partial 16S ribosomal RNA". It matches the Rfam family "Bacterial small subunit ribosomal RNA", at positions 360 to 773 of the family's 1533-position model. The record is from RNAcentral.
AAUAUUGCGCAAUGGAGGGAACUCUGACGCAGCGACGUGGCGUGGGUGAUGAAGGUUUUCGGAUCGUAAAGCUCUGUCCUUGGGGAAGAAGGUCUUCGGACUUGACUGUACCUAAGGAGGAAGCCCCGGCUAACUACGUGCCAUCAGCCGCGGUAAUACGUAGGGGGCAAGCGUUGUCCGGAAUUAUUGGGCGUAAAGGGUGCGUGGGCGGCCUUUUAAGUCAGAUGUGAAAGCCCACGGCUUAACCGUGGGACUGCAUUUGAAACUGGAGGGCUUGAGUAUCGGAGAGGGUAGUGGAAUUCCCAGUGUAGCGGUGGAAUGCGUAGAUAUUGGGAGGAGCACCAGUGGCGAAGGCGACUACCUGGACGAAAACUGACGUUGAGGCACGAAAGCUAGGGGAGCAAAC